RNAcentral lists this transfer RNA (72 nucleotides) under Stegodyphus mimosarum. It matches the Rfam family "tRNA". From Rfam's summary of the family: Transfer RNA (tRNA) molecules are approximately 80 nucleotides in length. Their secondary structure includes four short double-helical elements and three loops (D, anti-codon, and T loops). Lineage: Eukaryota; Metazoa; Arthropoda; Arachnida; Araneae; Eresidae. The record is from Rfam by way of RNAcentral.
GCCCUUGUUGUGUAACGGUUAGCACACUCGGCGCGUACUCGAGAGGUCCAGGUUCGAAUCCCGGCGAGGGCA